This 321-nucleotide long non-coding RNA is filed under the name Daucus carota (carrot). Its description in RNAcentral is "long non-coding RNA (DCAR_LNC002844)". The record is from RNAcentral. Lineage: Eukaryota; Viridiplantae; Streptophyta; Magnoliopsida; Apiales; Apiaceae.
GUAACACAUACUCCAUAUGUAUUAUAGUCCUUAUUCCUUGUAUAACUAAAGAUUCAUGAAAAACCAACUAGAUACAACAAAAGCCCGUGAGAGAUAACAGGCUACUCCACUAAGAAGUAAGAACAUUUCAAUACCAUUAUUUUAAUCUUUUCCGAAACAAAAAAAGAAAGGACAAAAUCAAUCAACUUAUGUAACACUUUACAAUCCGAGGGGAGGACACAACGAUACUUGCACAUGAUACUAACACCGGGCAGCUCAUGAAUUCAAAAUAGUAGCCAUCUUCUUCUGCAGCUCCGGCUUGUUAGCCCCGACAAGUUUGUC